CAAACGGCCCUGGGAUUUUCAACUCUGAAGCAUAAGGCAAGUUAAUGAAGCACCCAAUUCACACCAGCUUUUAUCUGUCAGAGAAACACCAGCAAGCAAGGUAGAGACAACAAGCCAAACCCUGAUGUGCAAGUAUGAACUUCAUGUUAAUUAGGAAUCGGAAGAAUGUGUGGGUUUCUCUAAUGCACUCAUCAUACGAAGCCAGCUGAUUCAAAUGCUCUCAACCUGAGCUUCGGGUCAUUUGUGUUAGCUGUAAGGCCAUCUGAGGCAGAUGCAUUGAACCUGACCUUGAGAGUAUCCUUGACCACUGGACCAAGAGGCCAGAGACUCUACAAGUGUGCUCAGGCCAGAUGGCUAACUCAACUAGUGCCUGGCAGGAAGACUCAAGAUGCCAGCUUCUCCCCUAAACCAUGUGAACAUUCAACCAUUUUAAACUAUAAAAACAGCAAUUUCAACCAAAACACUGGACCUUUGCCUAUUUUACUGGAAGUUUCUCUCUUAGAGUAUGAUGAAAAGAGGAUUGGUUGUAAGAGACCUGGCUGCAAGGCUCAC
Molecule: long non-coding RNA, 552 nt
Filed under: Homo sapiens (human)
Lineage: Eukaryota; Metazoa; Chordata; Mammalia; Primates; Hominidae
Description: non-protein coding LINC01718:17
Source: RNAcentral